This 474-nucleotide ribosomal RNA is filed under the name uncultured bacterium. RNAcentral describes it as "SSU rRNA". It matches the Rfam family "Bacterial small subunit ribosomal RNA", at positions 26 to 518 of the family's 1533-position model. The record is from RNAcentral.
AGGACGAACGCUGGCGGCGUGCUUAACACAUGCAAGUCGAGCGGAAAGGCCCUUCGGGGUACUCGAGCGGCGAACGGGUGAGUAACACGUGAGUAAUCUGCCCUUAGCUCUGGGAUAGCUCCGGGAAACCGGGAUUAAUACCAGAUACGACCACUUUAGACAUCUGCCGUGGUGGAAAGAAUUUCGGCUAAGGAUGAGCUCGCGGCCUAUCAGCUUGUUGGUGGGGUAACGGCCUACCAAGGCGACGACGGGUAGCCGGCCUGAGAGGGCGACCGGCCACGACUGGGACUGAGACACGGCCCAGACUCCUACGGGAGGCAGCAGUGGGGAAUAUUGCGCAAUGGGCGAAAGCCUGACGCAGCGACGCCGCGUGGGGGAUGAAGGCCUUCGGGUUGUAAACCCUUUCAGCAGGGACGAAGCGAAAGUGACGGUACCUGCAGAAGAAGCGCCGGCUAACUACGUGCCAGCAGCCGC